RNAcentral lists this long non-coding RNA (2393 nucleotides) under Heterocephalus glaber (naked mole-rat). RNAcentral's name for it is "lncRNA (ENSHGLG00100052438.1)". Lineage: Eukaryota; Metazoa; Chordata; Mammalia; Rodentia; Bathyergidae. The record is from RNAcentral.
UGGGCACAUUAAAAAAAAAAAAAGGAGCUAUGAAAACAAAUACCAUUCAAAUAAUUAGGAUCUUAUGCCUGAGGCCAGCCUUGAUGCCAAGCAGGGACUUCCCUGCAGGAAUCGGAGCUGAGCCUGAUCCCAAAAGGAAGAAUCUGGGCACAAGAAGAAAGAUGACUUGAGGACAUCUCAGGAAUCAACAAGACCCCACACAUUGAAGGCUAAAAAGUACAAAAGUAUAAACAUUUCAAUUGAGAAGAGAGUUCCUGGGACUCCUGCUUGAAAAGAGUGUCCUAGGGAAUUGGUUCCCCAGGAUUCAUUUCCCCAUGCUCAACCAUCCGGGGACUCAGAGGCCACUGCAGCCAUAGCUCAAGGGCCUGGCUACUGCUUCCACUGACAGCAGAUCUUGGCAUGGUCCACAUGAUGCUAGUUUUACUGGAAUCCAAAAUUCAAGAGACUCUGAAAAAUGUUAGAACUGUUGAGACUUUGGGGAAGGGAUUAUAUCCCAGCUAUACAUGGGAUAGUUAGGCAGAAUUAUGAACUAGCUAUUAUCUUUAUUUGGAGAUAAUUAUGGUUUAAGAAGAUAUUUGGGGAUGUGAAGUCAUCAAGGGGUGGAUUGUGAACAUUAAUCUUGAUUGUAAUCUUCAUGGAUUACAAAAAAACCUAGCAGAUUAGUAGACCACCCUCCUAUGUCUGGGUGGAUCAUGGAGGUGUGGCUUUGGGGACUGUAUAUGGCCCCUCACCCUUUCCUUUCUGGCACCCUGCUCUGCUUCCCAGCUGUCAUGAACCGAGCAGCUUUGCUCCACCCUUCCACCGUAACCUUCCUGCAUUGGAGCCUACCAACCAAAAAUUGAAUCUCCUGAAGUGUGAGGAUGUCCCUGAUUGAUUCCGUAUGCCUUGGAGACCUGCAGUACAUUUGCAUACGGGCAGCUGGGGGAUGGAACAAGAAUCGCAUGGCCAGAGGACCUACCAGGUUUUCCCGCAGGGCUCGCCAGGCAGGGCACAGUGGCAGCAGACACUUGUCACGUGGCAGGCUUCUGGGCCGAUGAUGUAUGACCUGCUGGUGCUACUGAAUGGUGCCCUUUGUUCCCGGAGAUCCCAUGUGCCCCCUUUUUAUGAAGUUGUUGAUUCAGAGGGGCAGGAAAGCUCCACAAAUCCCACUGCAGGCCUAGCUCUUGCCAUGCCCAGGUUACCAGCUGCAAAAAAGGAGCCCCCUUCCCUGUUCGCUGGACCAAGAAGCCCAAGGUGGGAGCCAGCAGCUCAGGGAGGAAGGAACUUGGCCUCUAUUUGCAGGACGAAAUCCAGCCAGAGACCCCAGAGCCAGGUGGGAAGACUCCGACAACAGGAGAUAGGGCUGACUUCUUAGCCAGCAGGAAAUCUCUGCGUCCUGAGAGGAUGAGGAUUAAAAGGCACCCUUCCCCUGGCCUCUCUUCUCCUGGCUUCCAGACUUGGUGAGGUGAACCCAGAGUGGAUUUCAGCUCAUUCUUUCUCUCUCCAUCUUGUGGCCCAGCUUCGGGGACCUAGCAAAGGACUGGACAAGAAAAGGGCUUUGCCAGGAUUUGACUCAGCCUUUCUGGCAUGGAGACAGCUGAUGGACCUUCAUAUCUAGCUGCUCCAGGAAGCCUCAGGCUCUGGCUCUGGUGCUGACCCAGUCUUAAGUUCCUUCUCCAAAGCAGCUGCACAAAUCCCACCAAGAAUUCUCUACCUGUGAGACCACUUCCCCCAAACUGCUGGGUUUUGUGUUGACUGCUAAUAGGUAACAGAUUCUUAUCACCUGAAAAUAAGACCUAGCUGAGAAAGAUUCAGCCUUCAAAAGUAGAGAUCAAAAAUGCCAGCCCCAGGGCCUGGGAUUUAGCUCAGUGGUUCCGGCACCUGCCUUGCAAGCACAAGGUCCCGAGUUCGAUCCCCAGUACCAAAAAACAAAAAAUGCCGGCCCCAAUCAGCCUAUUCCUGCCUUACCUGCCAUCACUGUUCUGGCUUGGUAGCUACUCUGUAAGGCAGUCUUUCCCAACUAGGUCUUAUUUUCAGAAACAUGGUAUCGUGAGCUCAAAGGUACACUGCUGACUGAUCCUCAAUUACUUCAUUCUGAACUCAGAGGCUCUGUGGCACAAAUGUUCAUAGACACUGAGGGCCCCACCUGGCACUUGAAUAAAAAUACAAGCAAAAGGGGAGACAGACACCAUUGCCAGGCCAAGAAAUGACAAGCCAGUAAUAAAGAGCAUCCACACACGUCACAGUUGUAAGGUGGCUUUAUGUUCGAAUAUGUAAAAUAAAAUGUCCAUGCUAUAUAACAAAACACUUGAAGUUCCAUAUCACCUGUUAGCUAAUGUGUUUUCUAAUAAAGCUUUAUCUGGAGUGUGUGUUUAUAUAAUAUAUAUGCUUUAUCUAAACCGUUCUUAUUUUUU